AGGAUAAACGCUGGCGGCGUGCCUAACACAUGCAAGUCGAACGCGCUUUUUCGCAAGAGGAGAGCGAGUGGCGGACGGGUGAGUAACACAUGGGUACCUACCUUGGAGUGAGGGAUACCGGCGAGAAAUCGCCGACAAUACCGCAUACGCUUCUCUUCACCGGGAAGCAAAGUUGCGCAAGCGACGCUCUGAGAUGGGCCUGUGGCCGAUUAGCUAGUUGGUGGGGUAAGAGCCUACCAAGGCGACGAUCGGUAGCUGGUCUGAGAGGACGAUCAGCCACACUGGGAUUGAGAACGGCCCAGACUCCUACGGGGGCAGCAGUGAGGAAUUUUCCGCAAUGGACGCAAGUCUGACGGAGCAACGCCGCGUGCAGGAUGAAGGUUUUCGGAUCGUAAACUGCUUUUCUCGGGGACGAGCAAGGACGGUACCCGAGGAACGAAGCCCCGGCUAACUACGCGCCAGCAGCCGCGGUAA
RNAcentral lists this ribosomal RNA (474 nucleotides) under uncultured bacterium. RNAcentral describes it as "SSU rRNA". It matches the Rfam family "Bacterial small subunit ribosomal RNA", at positions 26 to 523 of the family's 1533-position model. The record is from RNAcentral.